ACAUAACUGUUUAGUUGAGAGUCUAUCUUUUUAGUGUGGUUGCUGUUGAUCCAUACAGGUGCGCAAUACUCCGCAACUGAAUACACUAAUGCAAUUGAAGAUGUUUUUAGUGUAAAUGAAUCAGUACCCUAAUCUAUGCCUGCUAGUUUUUAGAUUAUAUUAUUUCUUGCGCAAAUCUUAGCCAUAACACAAGUUAUGUGGUUUUUAAAGGUAAGGGACCUAUUAAGAGUAAUUCCUAGGUAUUUUGGACAUGGAUUAUGUGCGAUAUUAUGACCACUGAAAGUAAUUUUUAGUUUGGCAUUAGCUUGCUUAUUAUUUAGAUAAAAUAUAGAAGAUUCUAUUUUGCCAGGAUUCAACCUUAGCUUCCAGUUCAUGAAGUCAAAAAAACUACAUUUUAAUUCAAAUUUAAAAAAUUUAGGUAACUUGAGGCAUAAUAUUGAGAUAAAGCUUUCAAAAUUGGAGUGGAUUUUAUUAUAUUUAUUUAGAACUAUCUUAGGGGGUGCAUUCAUAAAAGUUCAACCAUGAUUCAUUUAAGAGCUGCCAUAAUAUACAUUAAAACCACCUUCUUAUAACGGACACUCUAUAAGGUAGAAAAACCAUGAUUUAUAACAAUUGUUUUAUAAAAAAGUAGUUAUUAUCACCUGUUGUACCAGUUUAAUGAGAUGUAUUCCAGUUACCAAUUUGUAGAUACCAAGUAUAUGGAAAAAGGUUAAUUACAAUGUCCUUAAUUCAUAUUAAUCCCUUUUUAAGAAGUUUGUACUCAUGUUUCUCAAAUGGUCUCCAAUUGAGUUAGUGUUUUUAGAUUAUUUUCCUAUAUAAAUAUUAUAUAUACA
Non-coding RNA from Cinara cedri, 833 nucleotides. NCBI's taxonomy places the organism in Eukaryota, Metazoa, Arthropoda, Insecta, Hemiptera, Aphididae. The record is from the annotation of a GenBank genome assembly.